RNAcentral lists this ribosomal RNA (941 nucleotides) under Scutogyrus longicornis. Its description in RNAcentral is "16S ribosomal RNA". The stretch from base 588 to 941 matches the Rfam family "Bacterial large subunit ribosomal RNA", at positions 2048 to 2710 of the family's 2925-position model. The record is from RNAcentral. Lineage: Eukaryota; Metazoa; Platyhelminthes; Monogenea; Dactylogyridea; Ancyrocephalidae.
GUUAGUUUGAGCUAUUUUAAGUUUUAUUGGUUCUACCUUUUGUAUCAUGAUUUGGGGAGUAUAAUAGGAGAUCCUUUAGUUAGAAAAGCGAAGAUUUAGUUUUUUUAGCGGGCUUUGUGAAACAGCCUCGAAAAAAGAAAUUGGCAGUGAUAAAUUAGUCGUUUUGCUUGAUAACUAGUGCUAGACUUUAUAUAAUAAAAACGUAGUUGGCGUGGAUGUCAGUUAUGUAAUCAAAAGAAAUGUUGUUAUUAAUUUACUGGGGUUUAAAGGUAUCCGGGGUAGAAAAGUGUUAUAACUUAGAUGACGAUUUUAAUCUUUUUGUAGUAGUCUAGAUUACAAACCAGACGGUUUUAAGUAUCCUAGAAUAAGUAGUAAAUUACCGGCAUAAAGUUUUGUGUAAAUUCGUACUGUUUAUUAAAAACAUUUCUGCAACUAUUAUUUUGCAGUAUAACCUGCUCAGUGUGAUUCAACAGCCGCAGUAUUUUGACUGUGCUAAGGUAGCAUAAUUACUUGUCCUCUAAAUAGGGAAUUGUUUGAAAGGUUGGUUUGGGUUUUAUUCGAUUUUGUCAGUAUUAAUGAAUUUGGGAUGUGAGUAAAGACUCUCACGAUGCAAUAAAAGACGGAAAGACCCCGAGAGCUUAAUUUUAAAUUUACUUGGGGCGAGGGUGUUAAUUCAGAUGCAUUAUGAACCUAUUAGUUAGUUUAGUGGAUAAGUUACCUCGGGGAUAACAGGGUAAGAAGUGAGGAGAGAUCAUAUUGAUUCACUUAGGUGCCACCUCGAUGUUGACUUGGAGUAACCCCGGAGAGCAGCAUUUCCGUGGGUAGGCCUGUUCGGCCUUUAAAUCUUUUCAUGAGUUGAGUUGAGACCGGUGUAAGCCAGGUCGGUUCCUAUCUAUAGGGCAAUCUUCCUAGUACGAAAGGAUUGGAAGAUUUUUAUUUUA